This 515-nucleotide ribosomal RNA is filed under the name uncultured bacterium. RNAcentral's name for it is "bacterial SSU rRNA". It matches the Rfam family "Bacterial small subunit ribosomal RNA", at positions 8 to 556 of the family's 1533-position model. The record is from RNAcentral.
AGAGUUUGAUCCUGGCUCAGGAUGAACGCUGGCGGUGUGCCUAACACAUGCAAGUCGAACGAGAAGCCAUCUUCGGAUGGUGGACAGUGGCGAACGGGUGCGUAACACGUAGCUAUCUGCCCCAGAGAGCGGGAUAACGUCUGGAAACAGACGCUAAUACCGCAUACCCUUCUACGGAAGGAAAGCUCCGGCGCUCUGGGAUGAGGCUGCGGCCCAUCAGGUAGUUGGUGAGGUAAUGGCUCACCAAGCCAACGACGGGUAGGGGACCUGAGAGGGUGGCCCCCCACACUGGGACUGAGACACGGCCCAGACUCCUACGGGAGGCAGCAGUGAGGAAUCUUGCGCAAUGGACGAAAGUCUGACGCAGCGACACCGCGUGGGCGAAGAAGGUUUUCGGAUCGUAAAGCCCUUUUCUGUGUGACGAGAACGGACGGUAGCACAGGAAUAAGUCUCGGCUAACUACGUGCCAGCAGCCGCGGUAAAACGUAGGAGGCAAGCGUUAUCCGGAGUUACUG